GCACAAGCAGUGGAGUAUGUGGUUUAAUUCGAAGCAACGCGAAGAACCUUACCAGGUCUUGACAUCGGAUGCACACCUAAGAGAUUAGGGAAGUCCUUCGGGACAUCCAGACAGGUGGUGCAUGGUUGUCGUCAGCUCGUGUCGUGAGAUGUUGGGUUAAGUCCCGCAACGAGCGCAGCCCUUAUCGUUAGUUACUACGCAAGAGGACUCUAGCGAGACUGCCGUUGACAAAA
RNAcentral lists this ribosomal RNA (233 nucleotides) under uncultured bacterium. RNAcentral's name for it is "partial 16S ribosomal RNA". It matches the Rfam family "Bacterial small subunit ribosomal RNA", at positions 923 to 1163 of the family's 1533-position model. The record is from RNAcentral.